This 2211-nucleotide ribosomal RNA is filed under the name Escherichia coli. RNAcentral describes it as "partial 23S ribosomal RNA". It matches the Rfam family "Bacterial large subunit ribosomal RNA", at positions 1 to 2228 of the family's 2925-position model. The record is from RNAcentral. Lineage: Bacteria; Pseudomonadati; Pseudomonadota; Gammaproteobacteria; Enterobacterales; Enterobacteriaceae.
GGGUUGUGAGGUUAAGCGACUAAGCGUACACGGUGGAUGCCCUGGCAGUCAGAGGCGAUGAAGGACGUGCUAAUCUGCGAUAAGCGUCGGUAAGGUGAUAUGAACCGUUAUAACCGGCGAUUUCCGAAUGGGGAAACCCAGUGUGUUUCGACACACUAUCAUUAACUGAAUCCAUAGGUUAAUGAGGCGAACCGGGGGAACUGAAACAUCUAAGUACCCCGAGGAAAAGAAAUCAACCGAGAUUCCCCCAGUAGCGGCGAGCGAACGGGGAGCAGCCCAGAGCCUGAAUCAGUGUGUGUGUUAGUGGAAGCGUCUGGAAAGGCGCGCGAUACAGGGUGACAGCCCCGUACACAAAAAUGCACAUGCUGUGAGCUCGAUGAGUAGGGCGGGACACGUGGUAUCCUGUCUGAAUAUGGGGGGACCAUCCUCCAAGGCUAAAUACUCCUGACUGACCGAUAGUGAACCAGUACCGUGAGGGAAAGGCGAAAAGAACCCCGGCGAGGGGAGUGAAAAAGAACCUGAAACCGUGUACGUACAAGCAGUGGGAGCACGCUUAGGCGUGUGACUGCGUACCUUUUGUAUAAUGGGUCAGCGACUUAUAUUCUGUAGCAAGGUUAACCGAAUAGGGGAGCCGAAGGGAAACCGAGUCUUAACUGGGCGUUAAGUUGCAGGGUAUAGACCCGAAACCCGGUGAUCUAGCCAUGGGCAGGUUGAAGGUUGGGUAACACUAACUGGAGGACCGAACCGACUAAUGUUGAAAAAUUAGCGGAUGACUUGUGGCUGGGGGUGAAAGGCCAAUCAAACCGGGAGAUAGCUGGUUCUCCCCGAAAGCUAUUUAGGUAGCGCCUCGUGAAUUCAUCUCCGGGGGUAGAGCACUGUUUCGGCAAGGGGGUCAUCCCGACUUACCAACCCGAUGCAAACUGCGAAUACCGGAGAAUGUUAUCACGGGAGACACACGGCGGGUGCUAACGUCCGUCGUGAAGAGGGAAACAACCCAGACCGCCAGCUAAGGUCCCAAAGUCAUGGUUAAGUGGGAAACGAUGUGGGAAGGCCCAGACAGCCAGGAUGUUGGCUUAGAAGCAGCCAUCAUUUAAAGAAAGCGUAAUAGCUCACUGGUCGAGUCGGCCUGCGCGGAAGAUGUAACGGGGCUAAACCAUGCACCGAAGCUGCGGCAGCGACGCUUAUGCGUUGUUGGGUAGGGGAGCGUUCUGUAAGCCUGCGAAGGUGUGCUGUGAGGCAUGCUGGAGGUAUCAGAAGUGCGAAUGCUGACAUAAGUAACGAUAAAGCGGGUGAAAAGCCCGCUCGCCGGAAGACCAAGGGUUCCUGUCCAACGUUAAUCGGGGCAGGGUGAGUCGACCCCUAAGGCGAGGCCGAAAGGCGUAGUCGAUGGGAAACAGGUUAAUAUUCCUGUACUUGGUGUUACUGCGAAGGGGGGACGGAGAAGGCUAUGUUGGCCGGGCGACGGUUGUCCCGGUUUAAGCGUGUAGGCUGGUUUUCCAGGCAAAUCCGGAAAAUCAAGGCUGAGGCGUGAUGACGAGGCACUACGGUGCUGAAGCAACAAAUGCCCUGCUUCCAGGAAAAGCCUCUAAGCAUCAGGUAACAUCAAAUCGUACCCCAAACCGACACAGGUGGUCAGGUAGAGAAUACCAAGGCGCUUGAGAGAACUCGGGUGAAGGAACUAGGCAAAAUGGUGCCGUAACUUCGGGAGAAGGCACGCUGAUAUGUAGGUGAAGUCCCUCGCGGAUGGAGCUGAAAUCAGUCGAAGAUACCAGCUGGCUGCAACUGUUUAUUAAAAACACAGCACUGUGCAAACACGAAAGUGGACGUAUACGGUGUGACGCCUGCCCGGUGCCGGAAGGUUAAUUGAUGGGGUCAGCGCAAGCGAAGCUCUUGAUCGAAGCCCCGGUAAACGGCGGCCGUAACUAUAACGGUCCUAAGGUAGCGAAAUUCCUUGUCGGGUAAGUUCCGACCUGCACGAAUGGCGUAAUGAUGGCCAGGCUGUCUCCACCCGAGACUCAGUGAAAUUGAACUCGCUGUGAAGAUGCAGUGUACCCGCGGCAAGACGGAAAGACCCCGUGAACCUUUACUAUAGCUUGACACUGAACAUUGAGCCUUGAUGUGUAGGAUAGGUGGGAGGCUUUGAAGUGUGGACGCCAGUCUGCAUGGAGCCGACCUUGAAAUACCACCCUUUAAUGUUUGAUGUUCUAACGU